GCGCCAGUAGCUCAGUUGGAUAGAGCAUAGGUCUUCUAAACCUAGGGCCGGGGGUUCGAGUCCCUCCUGGCGCGCCA
RNAcentral lists this transfer RNA (77 nucleotides) under Erysipelotrichia bacterium. RNAcentral's name for it is "tRNA-Arg". It matches the Rfam family "tRNA". Rfam says of the family: Transfer RNA (tRNA) molecules are approximately 80 nucleotides in length. Their secondary structure includes four short double-helical elements and three loops (D, anti-codon, and T loops). Lineage: Bacteria; Bacillati; Bacillota; Erysipelotrichia. The record is from RNAcentral.